RNAcentral lists this long non-coding RNA (358 nucleotides) under Lathyrus oleraceus (garden pea). RNAcentral's name for it is "Pisum sativum (pea) long non-coding RNA (PSAT_LNC002088)". Lineage: Eukaryota; Viridiplantae; Streptophyta; Magnoliopsida; Fabales; Fabaceae. The record is from RNAcentral.
UGGACGUGGGAUUUAAUUUUUAAAUAAAUAUGAAGGAAAGUCUAGUGGGUGGAGUGUUGCCUUUGGUACUGUUCUUUGUUCUUAUUAUUUUUUUUAUUUUUUUAUUUUUUUAUUUAUUAAUAUUUGUCUUUUUUAUUAGAUUAGAGAUUAAUUUUGUGUUUGGUCCUCUUUUUUUCUUUUUACUAAUUUACACCUUCAUGCUUAUGUUUGCACCCUUCUGUUUUAUUUAUUGUUUUUUUUAAUUAAUUCUAAUUAGUAGUUUAAUUGAUUAUAAUUUUAUUUGAUUUUUGAUUAUAUUUUUAGUUGACUAAUUAUUAUAAGUUAAUUAUUGGAUUUUUUUUGUUGCGUUGCGAUUUCG